GAACGGGUGCGUAACACGUGAACAACCUGCCCUCGUGUGGGGGAUAGCCGGGCUAACGCCCGGGUAAUACCGCAUACGUUCUCGUGGGGGAGUCCCUGCGGGAGGAAAGCUCCGGCGCACGGGGAGGGGUUCGCGGCCUAUCAGCUAGUUGGGGGGGUAACGGCCCACCAAGGCGACGACGGGUAGCUGGUCUGAGAGGAUGGCCAGCCACAUUGGGACUGAGAGACGGCCCAGACUCCUACGGGAGGCAGCAGUGGGGAAUCUUGCGCAAUGGCCGAAAGGCUGACGCAGCGACGCCGCGUGUGGGAGGACGCCUUUCGGGGUGUAAACCACUGUUGCCCGGGACGAACAGCCCUUUUCGAGGGGUCUGACGGUACCGGGUGAGGAAGCACCGGCUAACUCCGUGCCAGCAGCCGCGGUAAUACGGAGGGUGCGAGCGUUGUCCGGAAUCAUUGGGCGUAAAGGGCGCGUAGGUGGCCCGGUCAGCGUGCGGUGAAAGCUCGGGGCUCAACCCCGAGUCGGCCGUGCGAACUGCUGGGCUGGAGCACUGUAGAGGCAGGCGGAAUUCCGGGUGUAGCGGUGGAAUGCGUAGAGAUCCGGAAGAACACCGGUGGCGAAGGCGGCCUGCUGGGCAGUUGCUGACACUGAGGCGCGACAGCGUGGGGAGCAAACAGGAUUAGAUACCCUGGUAGUCCACGCCGUAAACGAUGGGCACUAGGCGCUUGGGGGAGCGACCCUCCGAGGGCCGGCGCUAACGCAUUAAGUGCCCCGCCUGGGGAGUACGGCCGCAAGGCUGAAACUCAAAGGAAUUGACGGAAUCGAAUU
Molecule: ribosomal RNA, 825 nt
Filed under: uncultured bacterium
Lineage: Bacteria
Description: bacterial SSU rRNA
Rfam family: Bacterial small subunit ribosomal RNA
Source: RNAcentral